Acinonyx jubatus (cheetah) is the source of this 818-nucleotide long non-coding RNA. RefSeq lists it as uncharacterized. NCBI's taxonomy places the organism in Eukaryota, Metazoa, Chordata, Mammalia, Carnivora, Felidae. The record is from RefSeq and is a predicted model, not a curated record. The transcript is spliced from 3 exons.
GUCCCUGCCCAGGUGCAGAGAGGAGGAGAGAACAUGCUGGAAACAGAGCCCCCAACCCACAUGGAGGAGCCACCGUGCUCCAGCCCAGCUGGGGACAAAGGCAUCAUUGUGAGGCCAACAGACACCCCUUUGUCCAACUAGCAGGAGGCGAGGACCCCGUCAUAGUCUGACCACCCCCCUUCCCGAGGGCCCUGAACUAUUGCUCUACUACCUGAGGGAAAGGGGCCCCGGCAUCUGAGGGCAAGGGGAGGAAAUGAAGGAAGAAGAUGGGCAGGACGGGAGGAGAGGGGGUUCAGAAGGGAAGAAGUAAACAGUUCCCAGUUUCCAGUUUCACCUGCACUUUGAGGUCACACAGCCAUCUUCCUCCCCACCAACAUGUAUCAGAAUGAAGGGACAGAAGAAAAGAGACAGAGAUCCAGACUGAGGAUUGGUGGAGAGCCAGAAGCUCAGUUACCUGGACAAGAAAUGAAAAGCAGACUUCAUUGUUUCUUACUCUCUGGUGGGAGGAGAGGUGGAAAGAAGAAAUAAGGAAAGACCAAGGGUUGGAGAAGAAAAGAAAGCUGGAACAAUUUAAUUCAGAUAAAAUCUGAAAUGUCCAAGUAACUUACCUUCUGUGCACCAUUUUCUGCUUUUUCUUUUCAUACCCUAACACCACUCCUCCCACCCAAUUACCCCUUUUUCCUCAAGGACCUCUAAACCAUUGGUACUAUGUCUUUAUUUUAUUCUUUAAAUAAUCCAUCAACUGCCCUUCAUAUCCAGAACUAUAAACUUGCAGACACUGUUAACUUCUUUGCCCUUUUCCCCCUCCAUUCAACUUU